Molecule: ribosomal RNA, 439 nt
Filed under: uncultured bacterium
Lineage: Bacteria
Description: bacterial SSU rRNA
Rfam family: Bacterial small subunit ribosomal RNA
Source: RNAcentral
AGAGUUUGAUCCUGGCUCAGAAUGAACGUUGGCGGCGUGGAUUAGGCAUGCAAGUCGAGGGAGAACCCGCAAGGGGGACACCGGCGAACGGGGUAGGAUCACGUAGGUGACGUACCCCCAGGGCGAGGAUAGCCACGGGAAACUGUGGGUAAUACUCGAUAACCUUCCCGAUCAUGAUCGAAUGGGAAGCAAUGGGUGUGAUUCCACCUGGGGAGACCGGCUUACGCAGUAUCAGCUAGUUGGUGAGGUAACGGCUCACCAAGGCUUUGACGCUUAGGGGGUGUGAAAACCUGCCCCCCCCCUGGCACUGAGACACUGGCCGACCCUACGGGUGGCUGCAGUCGAGAAUCUUCGGCAAUGGACGAAAGUCUGACCGAGCGACGCCGCGUGCGGGAUGAAGGUCUUCGGAUUGUAAACCGCUGUCAGAGGGGAUGAUGUA